CGUGUUCAUCUUGGCACUGAACGAUGUAAGAAGAACUUUCCAUUUUAAACGAGAUACGUACAUAAAAACAUAUGUAUGUACAUCGUAAUCUAUCUUCUUAUGUACCUUACCGUACCUAUCGUCCUACAUCUUGUCUUCUUCCGUUGUUUUCCGUAAAAAAAGGCGUAUGAACGUUUCCCGCGGGACUUGGAUCCAGAAUACACGUCAUGCGAACAUUCCUUUUGCAAAAUAAAUUUUCUUUCCUUGAGAAACGACGAAGUAGAAGGUUAUUUCGUGUAGGAGAGUCUAACCUUUUUUUAAAUUUAACUACAACAGCGCGACGAUUUACUACGUCUGGCAUAACUAUUUCAAGUUUCUCUCUCUACAAGAGAACCAACCAAUCUCUUGUUCCCUCUCUCUCUCUCUCUCUCUCAUUCUCACUUCCCCCCCUCCGAGUCUCCCACCACUCAUCACCAUUUACCCCCUACCUCUUCGAUAAGGAUACAAAAUAUAUAUCACGUCUCCAUCUCCAUUGUUUUUAGUUUCACCGCAUUAUUCGAUUGAUUAUAUCCGUGAUAGAAGUAAACAAUUUAAGAAGAAGGAUGGGCAAUAGGUCAUAAAAUACGUACAACUAAACUUUAAAACGAAUGCGAAUGUCUCCUUGGAGAGUACUUAUCACGGAAUGCAAACGGACCAAGUACUACGAGCUUUCGACGAACAUCGACAAGAUCGGCAAAA
Molecule: long non-coding RNA, 717 nt
Organism: Vespa mandarinia (Asian giant hornet)
Lineage: Eukaryota; Metazoa; Arthropoda; Insecta; Hymenoptera; Vespidae
Source: RefSeq, a predicted model, not a curated record